Molecule: RNA transcript, 1894 nt
Organism: Neomonachus schauinslandi (Hawaiian monk seal)
Lineage: Eukaryota; Metazoa; Chordata; Mammalia; Carnivora; Phocidae
Gene name: signal recognition particle receptor subunit alpha-like
Exons: 1
Source: RefSeq, a predicted model, not a curated record
AUGCUCGACUUCUUCAGGAUUUUCUCCAAGGGUGGGCUUGUGCUCUGGUGCUUCCAGGUCGUGAGUGACUCACGCACCUGGCCCAUUAAUGUGUUGAUUCGUUCUGUGCUGCUGCAGGAAAGGGAAGGUAACAACUCCUUCACCCAUGAGCCACUCACACUCAAGUAUAAACUAGACAACCAGUUUGAGCUGAUGUUCGUGGUUGGUUUUCAGAAGAUCCUAACACUGACGUAUGUAGACAAAUUGAUAGAUGGUGUGCACCAGCUGUUUCGGGACAAGUAUCACACAGAGAUCCAACAGCAAAGUGCUUUAAGUCUAUUGAAUGGCACUUUUUAUUUCCAAAAUUACUUCCUGCGGCUCCUUCCUGAAGCAGAGGAGAGCAGUAAGAUCCAUGCUCCCACUACCAUGAAGAAAUUUGAAGAUUCUGAAAAGGCCAAGAAACCUGUGAGGUCCAUGAUUGAGACACGGGUGAAAAGCCCAAGGAAAAAGCAAAGAACAGCAAAAAAAAGGGGGAAGAAGGCGAGUUCUGAUGGCCCUUUGGCUACCAGCAAAGCAGUUCCUGCGGAAAAGUCAGGUCUCCCAGUGGGGCCUGAAAAUGGGGUAGAACUUUCUGAAGAGGAGCUCAUACGCAGGAAGCCAGAGAAGUUCAUUCAGAAGCAUGGGAGAGGUAUGGAAAAGUCCAGCGAGUCCAUGAAAUCAGAUGCUCCAAAGGAGAAGGGCAAAAAUGCACCCCGGGUAUGGGCACUGGGUGGCUGUGCUAACAAGGAAGUCUUGGAUUAUGGCACCUCCACCACCAAUGGAGCCCCUGAGGUUGCCCCACCUGAGGACAUCAACUUGAUUCAAACGACUAGGUCUGGAGGGCAGCUUCAGGAUCUGAACUGCAGCAGCUCAGAUGAUGAAGUGGCUGCUCAAAACACCACCAAACCUAGUGCUACCAAGGGAACUCUGGGUGGCAUGUUUGGGAUGCUGAAGGGCCUUGUGGGGUCCAAGAGCCUGAGUCAUGAAGAUGUGGAGUUUGUGCUGGAUAAGAUGCAUGAUCAUCUCAUUGCUAAGAGUGUGGAAGCAGACAUUGCAGUCCAGCUCUGUGAAUCUGAGGCCAACAAGUUGGAAGGGAAGGUGAUGGGGACAUUCAGCACGGUGACUUCCACGGUAAAGCAAGCCCUACAAGAGUCCCUGGUGCAGACUCUGCAGCCACAGUGUCUUAUAGACAUGCUCCGGGAUAUUAUGGAUGCUCAGCAUCAUCAGCGUCCUUAUGUUGUCACCUUCUGUGGUGUUAAUGGAGUGGGGAAGUCUACUAAUCUUGCCAAGAUUUCCUUCUAGCUGUGUUAGAGAAUGGCUUCAGUGUCCUCAUUGCUGCCUGUGACACAUUUCGUGCAGGGGCUUGGAGCAGCUGGGUGCCCUACAGCCCCCAGAGAACCAUGGCGGCCGCACUAUGGUGCAGUUGUUUGAAAAGGACUACGGCAAGGACGCUGUGGGCAUUGCCAUGGAAGCGAUUGCCUUUGCACGCAACAAAGGCUUUGAUGUGGCGCUGGUGGACACAGCUGGCCGAAUGCAAGCCAAUGCCCUUUUGAUGACCGCCCUGGCUAAGCUCAUUACUGUCAACACACCCGACUAGCUGCAGUUUGUGGGGGAGUCCUUAGUAGGCAAUGAGGCCAUGGACUAGCUGGUCAAGUUCAACAGAGCUUUGGCUGACCAUUCUAUGGCUCAAACACACCUGCUCAUUGAUGGCAUUACCCUUACCAAAUUUGAUACCAUUGAAGACAAGGUGGGAGCUGCUAUUUCUAUGACCUAUGUCAUAAGCAAAUCCACCGUCUUUGUGGGCACUGGCCAGACCUACUGUGACCUAUGCAGUUUCAAUACCAAGGCUGUGGUGGCUGCCCUCAUGAAGGCUUAA